This 865-nucleotide small RNA is filed under the name Arabidopsis thaliana (thale cress). Its description in RNAcentral is "ATSL219140". Lineage: Eukaryota; Viridiplantae; Streptophyta; Magnoliopsida; Brassicales; Brassicaceae. The record is from RNAcentral.
GCCAUUCUAAAGCAAAACAGUGUUUCUAUUUUAUUUUUUAUUUUUUAUUAAAGAGAAACAAAUACAAGGUCAAGCAAACUGAAAGAGGCACAUAUACCCCAAAAAAACGCAUAUGCCAAACAACAACAAAAAAAAAAAACCAAAACUAUAAAAAAAUCUUAAACGCUCAAGAAGUCCGGACACAAAAGGAGAAGAGACCCCUUAAUCUAAGAAAAUUAACCAAGCGGAGAGUAGAGAAAACCAUGGAGGAGCGAUACGUUGCUUUUUAGCAAGAUGAUCAAGACGCGCCCACAUUAACGACUUGAUGUCUUUGAUGAUUGACGUGGGGUCUUGAAAUUCGUAGUGCAGAUACGAGAGUUACAUUUCUUCCAAAGGAGAUAGACCGCUGCCUGAAACACAAUUAUUAUGAUCAAAUCAAGAUUUGGAUCCCUAGUAGCCGAGUAGACCCAGUGAAAACAAGCCAUAAAAUGGUUUGGGGGUAACCAAGUGUCGUUAGCUCAAUUGGUAAAGAUCCUAGACAAAGUUUAGAGAUUGCUGGUUCGAGUGACGCUUAGGACGAAACUAAUAUUACUGGCUGUAGUUUCGGGUCUGGGAGAUUAUGAGUUUCGGUCCAGAACUUCCUGUUAUUCAAAAAAAAAAAAGUUCAAACAACAUAACAGGUAAUAAAAAACAAGUACUCUCUUAACUCAUUAGAACCGUUGCAACGAACACAAGAGGGAGAGAUAAAAUGUCCCUCGAUCCUAAGUCUAUCACGGUUCACGGGGGAUGAUGGUCCGACUUCCACAAAUAGAUGUCAUCAUCCAAAGGAUUCAACUCCCAUAAAUUCCUAUUCCCAUUGUUUCUGUUACCAGUGUUUCUAUUUUAU